This 68-nucleotide transfer RNA is filed under the name Craspedonirmus immer. RNAcentral's name for it is "tRNA-Glu". It matches the Rfam family "tRNA". From Rfam's summary of the family: Transfer RNA (tRNA) molecules are approximately 80 nucleotides in length. Their secondary structure includes four short double-helical elements and three loops (D, anti-codon, and T loops). Lineage: Eukaryota; Metazoa; Arthropoda; Insecta; Psocodea; Philopteridae. The record is from RNAcentral.
CUCGGUGUAGUUUACUAAGAAAACACUCCUUUUUCAAAGGAGCAAUAGGUUUACAUUCCUUUCCGAGU